This 253-nucleotide ribosomal RNA is filed under the name uncultured bacterium. RNAcentral's name for it is "partial 16S ribosomal RNA". It matches the Rfam family "Bacterial small subunit ribosomal RNA", at positions 524 to 776 of the family's 1533-position model. The record is from RNAcentral.
UACGUAGGGCGCAAGCGUUAUCCGGAAUUAUUGGGCGUAAAGAGCGCGUAGGCGGUCCGAUAAGUCGGCUGUGAAAGUCAGGGGCUCAACCCUUGAAAGCCGGCCGAUACUGUCGGACUAGAGUCCGGAAGAGGCAAGUGGAAUUCCCGGUGUAGCGGUGAAAUGCGCAGAUAUCGGGAGGAACACCGAUGGCGAAGGCAGGUCUCUGGGCAUUAACUGACGCUGAGGAGCGAAAGCAUGGGGAGCGAACAGG